Molecule: non-coding RNA, 104 nt
Organism: Mycena vitilis
Lineage: Eukaryota; Fungi; Basidiomycota; Agaricomycetes; Agaricales; Mycenaceae
Source: the annotation of a GenBank genome assembly
GCCUCUGUGGACUAGGGAAGUCGCCUCGAAUAUCUGGUCUUGGAGACUCAAGCUCUAUAUAUUGAUUGAUUGAGGAGACGAGGGUUCGAUACCCUCUAGAGGCG